UAUAUAUAUAAUUGAAGCAUAGCAAGACAAGAACACAGCCGCCCAAAGAACCAAAAACUUCUCUGAUCCAUUGUUGAAGAUGAAGCAGAAUCCAAAGGCGAGGAGAUAUAGCUCUCGGUGUAAUCGGCAGUGUGUCAACGUUAGGUCUGCUUUUGUAGCAGCACAUGUACGGGAAGAAGGAAUCCAUUUCAGGAUUAAGACCAAGCAAGGAAAGAAAAACUGAAAGAAUUCUCCAAUGGAUUACACUGUCGAUAUGAUCUGUGAUGAAAGUAGACAGAAACUACGAGUUUUGUCGGAAAAAAAUGACAGAAAUAAUGCACGGAUGCUUUGUGUCAACGGUACGGUACGUCUUGUCUUCUUUUGUUUUUGUUUUUUAGUUUUUAUUUGAGACUUUUAAUUAGCAUAAUAUCCUUCAAAUUAGUUAGAUAGAAAUUUGAUAAGAGACUUUUUUUCUGUUUAUCUUUUGUUGAUCUGAGACUUCUAUUGAUUAGAUAGAAAUUUAUGUCUUUCAAAUGUUAUUUUCAUUUCUAACAGUGAUUCGAAUAUGAGAACAAUCUCAACUUUAUUAUAUAUUUGAGUUUGAACGCGCGCGCCCAAAUGUUUUUCUUUUUAGUGUGUAAAAAUUAUGAGUUGGUUUUAUAUAUAGAAGGUUUUGUAGUUUUUUAAAUAAAAAAAACUUAACCAACAUAUAGUUAGUUUAAUGUUGUAACUCUCAUCUCAAUUAGUCUACUCUAUCUAUCUAUUAUGUCUUUUUAAAAAAAUCUCUACUAAAUGUUUAUACUAUGUAAGCAAAACAUUGAAAUCAUUAGCUUAUCUUAAAUGUCUUACUCAAAAAUGACGACUACACUUUUAAUCCCCCAUUCAUUUUGAUACUAUU
This is an RNA transcript of Arabidopsis thaliana (thale cress), 877 nucleotides long. RefSeq lists it as uncharacterized. The transcript is spliced from 3 exons. NCBI's taxonomy places the organism in Eukaryota, Viridiplantae, Streptophyta, Magnoliopsida, Brassicales, Brassicaceae. The record is from RefSeq.